This 521-nucleotide ribosomal RNA is filed under the name uncultured bacterium. Its description in RNAcentral is "partial 16S ribosomal RNA". It matches the Rfam family "Bacterial small subunit ribosomal RNA", at positions 30 to 523 of the family's 1533-position model. The record is from RNAcentral.
AUUGAACGCUGGCGGCGUGGUUAAGACAUGCAAGUCGAACGGUUUUUUUGGUGUAGCAAUAUAUUGAAAAGGCAGUGGCGAACGGGUGCGUAACACGUGAACAAUCUACCUUUUAGUGGGGAAUAGCUCGUCGAAAGGCGAAUUAAUACCGCAUAUGAUUGAUGCUCUCCUGAGUGUCAUAUCAAAGUCGGGGACCGCAAGGCCCGACGCUAGAAGAGGAGUUCGCGGCCUAUCAGCUAGUUGGUGAGGUAACGGCCCACCAAGGCUAAGACGGGUAGCCGGUCUGAGAGGAUGAUCGGCCACACUGGAACGAAGACACGGUACAGACACCUACGGGUGGCAGCAGUUUCGAAUCAUUCACAAUGGGCGAAAGCCUGAUGGUGCGACGCCGCGUGAGGGAUGAAGGUCUUCGGAUUGUAAACCUCUGUCACUGGGGAAGAAACGCUGAAUCCUAAUACGAUUCAGCCUGACUUAACCCGGAGAGGAAGCAGUGGCUAACUCUGUGCCAGCAGCCGCAGUAA